UACGUACGAGGCGAGCGUUAUCCGGAAUUAUUGGGCGUAAAGCGCGCGCAGGCGGGCUGUUAAGUAGGACGUGAAAUUUCCCGGCCUAACUGGGAGGAGUCGUUCUAAACUGGCAGUCUUGAGGACAGCAGAGGUAGGUGGAAUUCCUGGUGUAGUGGUGCAAUGCGUAGAGAUCAGGAGGAACACCGGUGGCGCAGGCGGCCUACUGGGCUGUCACUGACGCUGAGGCGCGAAAGCUCUGGGAGCGAACGGG
RNAcentral lists this ribosomal RNA (253 nucleotides) under uncultured bacterium. RNAcentral describes it as "partial 16S ribosomal RNA". It matches the Rfam family "Bacterial small subunit ribosomal RNA", at positions 524 to 776 of the family's 1533-position model. The record is from RNAcentral.